AGGAUUUGACAUGGGGAGGCUUGGCACAGAGAUGUGUCUUUCCCGCAAGGGACCUCCCGCAC
Molecule: ribosomal RNA, 62 nt
Filed under: uncultured organism
Description: partial 16S ribosomal RNA
Source: RNAcentral